This is a long non-coding RNA of Anguilla rostrata (American eel), 344 nucleotides long. RefSeq lists it as uncharacterized. The record is from RefSeq and is a predicted model, not a curated record. NCBI's taxonomy places the organism in Eukaryota, Metazoa, Chordata, Actinopteri, Anguilliformes, Anguillidae. The transcript is spliced from 3 exons.
AUGUGAAGUUGUUGCAUUCAAAUCCUCAUUGAUAUUCAUGGCCACCGCUAAGAGAUCACGCCGUGCCUCGCCCAGGCGGUCCAGCGCCGGGGACAGGGGAGUCAGAACCGCAGCUGAGUGGACAGGCCAGGGGACAGGGGAUCAGAACCGCAGCUGAGUGGACAGGCCAGGGGACAGGGGAGUCAGAACCACAGCUGAGUGGACAGGCCGGGGACAGGGGAGUCAGAACCGCAGCUGAGUGGACAGGCCAGGGGACAGGGGAUCAGAACCACAGCUGAGUGGACAGGCCGGGGACAGGGGAGUCAGAACCGCAGCUGAGUGGACAGGCCAGGGGACAGGGGAGG